Loxodonta africana (African savanna elephant) is the source of this 6750-nucleotide long non-coding RNA. RefSeq lists it as uncharacterized. NCBI's taxonomy places the organism in Eukaryota, Metazoa, Chordata, Mammalia, Proboscidea, Elephantidae. The record is from RefSeq and is a predicted model, not a curated record. The transcript is spliced from 3 exons.
GGGCGGCACCUCUAAGGAGGUUUUGCUUCAAUCUAAAACAGGAAUGAUUAUGAACAUCUGGGGGAAGAACAUUCCAGACAGAGAGAACAGUGGGUGCCAAGGCACAAGAAUAAGCUUGAGGAGUGCAGGGAACAGAACGGGCUUGGAAACUUCUACCUCACUCAUCCUGUGCCAAGAGGUUACAUGGCGCAGGAUGAGUGCGGUGGAAAGUUGUUCAAGAUUAUGUCUACAAUCUCGGCAAGGAGUGUGCCAUGUAACUUCUUAUAAGGAAUUUGAUUUUUAUUCUAAAAGAGAUGAGAAUUCUUUAAUAGGUUCUAAACAGUGGGGUGACAUGAGACAGUUUAGAGCCUAUAAAGCACACUUUGGUUGCUAGGUGGAAAAUGAUUGGCAGAGGGUGAGGAGUGGAAGUUGAGAGACCAGCUGUAUUCUGUGUAAGACAUGUUCUGUGUAAGGCAAUGGUUCUCCACCCUGGAUGCAUAUAAGAAGGGCUUUAAAAAAGGUAAAAACUGAGCAAGUUUCAGUUCCUGACCCAAAGACUCAGAUUUACUUGUACUGGAGUAAGGUGUUUGUUUGUUUGUUUUUCUUAAGGUGUAAACAAAUAUCAAAAGCUCAUCAGGGAACUCUAAUGUACAUCGAGAGUUAAAAACCAUUGGCAUAAUGUGAUGACAGUGGAAUUAGAGGGAAGAGGACAGAUUAGGGUUAUGUUUUCAAUGUACGUUCAACAGGGCUUGCUAAUGGCUUAGAAGUAGGAAGGAAGGAACUGAGAAGACACAAGAAAUACUUCCAGGGUUUGGGCCUGAGGAACUUGGUUGGUGAUGACUGCAUUUCCUAAAAUGUUGAUGUCUGAGAAAAUACCAAACUUGGGCAAGAUAGAAAUCAAGGGUUCUGUUUCGAAUAUGCUAAAUUUGGAAUGCCUAUUGUAUGUCCAAAGUACACGAGAAGAAAUCUCGUCAUCUUCACAUCUAAGGGCCAUUCUGGCUGUGUUUCCUCCAAGACGUGUUAUUAGGAGGGACCAGUCCCUGGAGAAAGACAUCAUGUUUGGUAAAAUAGAAGAACCCACGAAGACAGGAGUGAUGCCUUCCUGAAGAUACAGAUAAUAGGAGUUGAAGAUGGCUCAUUCAAUUCAUUUGUCUCCACUCCACCUCUGCUUGGUCCUGCUCCCUGAGCUUACUAGCCUCUUCUAGGUCCCUAUGCCCAGUCAAAUGAACCUCUGUCAAGAAGCCAAGAAGACUACACCCAAGUGGCAGAAGAAAUGGGAUCGUCUCAUCCUCCAAGGGUACCCUAGAUGCCUGCAAAUGAGGAAUUUACCUGCAAUGUUUUGCAAAUGGGAUACAGUAAUGAGCAAAUAAAGUCCCACACUCAUGGAACUUACACGGAAUCUCCAAAUUCAGGAAAAGAAGUUUGGCCUCAGAGUCAGCCCAAAUCACCUAUUAGGCGACCUCCUUGAGAUGUGAGAUGUAAGAAGUGAGAAGUAGAAGAAAGUGAGAGAGACAGACGUUUGCCCCAACCGUGAAAGCAGAACUGGUCAAGGCCACCUGUCCUAGCAAGGGAGGGGAGGAGGGAGCUUGCUCACACCUUGUGGAUGGUCUGGUUGGGUGGGAGACACGGAGCUUCUGGGAAAGGGGUGCUGAUGGGUCUUGUCCCCUGUGUGGGAAUGGCGCUAGUACUAAUGUCCUGUCUGGCCUCAGGAUCCUAAGAGAGAUCAGUAAGAGUCUAUACCCAAGCAUGCUAGGACCCUAAUUUACCACAGUGAGCGCUGCAGCUUCUAGCUGGGGCUGAUAACAUGUUCUAAAAGGUUCAAUUCCGUAAAAGCUCUUCUCUUUGGGUUGUGAAAAGGUGUAGGGGAGGAAGAGAAGGGAAACCAUGAGCUUCUAGCUCUCGGAGCCAAUGUUGGCCCUCAUUUUAUUCUUUCUUUUGUUAACUCAUGUGUUUACCAGCCAUACCAAUAUCCCACAGAUCUUAUUGAAGGACUCGGAGAGACUUGCACACCACUUUAUGGGACCAUUUCUCCAAUUCUUACCAGUAUUCUUGUAUUUUUCUCCUGCAACCACCAAAAAGGGCAGUCUGGGUCCACAAUACUUUUGAAAUACUUAUUUAUAGUCUCUCAAUUCUGUUACCUAGCCUCAGAGGACAGCAUCCACCCAAAUACCAGUCAGUAACAUAUAAUGCCUCAAGUUGAGAUAGAAAAUAUAAGAUUCUCCAUAUUUUUACUAUAUCCAUAGAUUCCCGUAUAAUAAUUAAAAAAAAAUGAAAUUUAUCUUAUCUUGACCUGCAAAGCCAUUAGUGCUCUUGACUCAGCCUAUCUUUCUGAUCUUGAUCUCCAUUUUUGUCCAGUUGCUUUGUAUACUGCAGGAAACCUUGGUGGCCUAGUGGUUAAGUGCUAUGGCUGCUAACUAAGAGGUCCACAGUUCGAAUCCACCAGGCGCUCCUUGCAGUUCUACUCUGUUCUUUAGAGUCACUAUGAGUCGGAAUCGACUCGACCGCAGUGGGUCUGGUUUUCUGUAUACUGCUGUUUUGUCAUUGGCUCCAGAGCCAAUGUGCUGAAUAUCCUGUUUACCUUUGCUUCAAAAACAUAAUCCCCCUCCCCCCGGUCUGCCCUUUCUUUCUUCUCCAUCUAUUUGCAAAGUCCCUUCCUCUCAUCUUACCUCUUUGGUACAGCUUUCCCCAGUCUAUCCUAGCCCAUGGGCUCUCCCUUCCCCAAAAUCCCAGAUAGCCCACUAUUUGUAGCUCUCCCUGAGUCUUAGCAUUUACUGCCAUGUGUGUGUGUUUUGCUUCCCCUGAUAGAUUACAACUCCAUAAAGAGGUCCUUGGCAAGUCCAGAACACCUAACAUGGCAUCUUUGUAUAUUUAGUAUGCAAGAAUUGUUUUCUACUUAAAAACUAUUUAUGCCUUGUUUAUAGAGGAUUUAAACAGGUGGGUUUUAUAUAUUGAUUGAUUGAUUGAUGAUUGGCUGACCCAUUAAAGAUGUUGCUCACCUUUAUUAAAUAAAUAAAAAAAAAAAAAAGGCAGAGCAUCCUCGCCAGCCUGCUCAGUCAUGGGAUGCAAGCUGUCUUUAGGUAAAUUACAGUAUAGCAUAUACCCUUUUGCUGUGCAGGUGUGGAAUCUGAGGUUAAAAUUUCCUCCUCCACCUAUAACGUACAUAAUGAAACAAAUAUAGGAACAGAUAAUAGGAAAGUAAGUUAUAGAUGGUCCUUUAGAAGUCAAGUUAAUCUGCACAUCUAACCAUAAAAGCAGCAUCUGCUCUGCUAAAUACAGGUGUUUUAUAUCUUUGUCAUUAAUCGGAGGGGACAUUAUGUCUUCAUACAUCAAGAGUUAAGGUUGGUUAAAGUGCCACUUAUCUCAGGUGCUGUCAUUAAUCAGGUUCUUUUCAGCUUGGUGACUCCAAAGGCUUGGCUCAAAGCAGCUCUUUGUGAAUGGAUUUUCCCUAUAGGUUUUGAGGUGUCUUUUUAUACUCAUUUUGAAGGAAAACCUUGGGACCCAGACAUAGGUAGCCAUUAAGGUAGUUGUUCUGAUGCUUCAGAGAAAAGAAUCAUUUUUCCCCACCAUCUUCAAACACCCCAUAUGCCUCCACCAAAGAGCCACAGUGGAGAAGAAGGCAUAUCAACACAAGCUGUUGCCUCAUCACAGUUUAACCCACUAAUGGAUUUCAAAGACACCAGCUACAGUACAUCUGGUACAAACAGAGCUGAGAGCAGCAGAAUCCUAUGGAAGCCUGCACCUUCUCUUUCUGCCUGAUACUCCUGUCAACAGUGCCUCCCCGGCCGUCCAAAACCCUCAGUUUGGUACCCAUUCCAGACAGGCUUCCAGGACACAGUCUUCCCUAGUCUGUGCAAGUUGUUUUGGAUUAAGUUGUCAGGGAUGGUAAUGUAACCUUUUUCAAUUGUAGUUUUUACACUGCCAUCACCUUCACCCUAAAAAUUAAGGAAAAUAUUCAGGUAUCAGUUUGAUAAUUCAGGCAGAAGGCCAUUUGGUCCAUAUUACGUGCUCAUUUAGGGAGACCCUACUCUGCCCCGAAAAUAGAACUCCCUACAUAUCCCAACUUGGGUCUCUGAAUGUCCCAACCUAUGCAAGAUUGUAAGAACAAAGUGGGGUUGAGGGUGAUUCUAUUUUUAUUAUUCAUUUACUUAUUCAUUCAGUGGAUAUCUACUGAGUAUGAGGCAUAGUGCUAGGAGUGGAGGGUACAAUGACGAAGAGAUACAGACACAGUCCUUGCCCUUGAGGGUUUACAGUGGGAGUGGGACAGAAAUGGAUCAAAUAGCAACCAAAGACACUGUAAAAUUAAAACCAUGAUUAGCUCUCCAGGGGAAAGAGCUAUGUAUCCAUGCAAACAUGCAGCAAGGAACCUGACUUAAUUUGGGAAACCUCAGUUAAGGGUCUGACAUUUGACCUGUGAUCUGAAGAGUGUCCCUCUAGAGGGAGCAGCAGGCACAAAGUACUGUGGUUGGAGGAAGCACUAAGAAUAGCAGAAACUGAAAGUUCCUGUGCUAGGCAGCAUUCUAAGAUGGCCCUCAAGAUCCCACCCCUGGAAGUACACACCCUGCCUAAUUUCUGGACUUGUGAAUAUGAUAGAUUUUACUCCCGUGAUUGAAUGGUACCAUGAAAUUUAAGAAAGGAAGAUUAUUCGGGUGGACCUGACCUAAUCGUAUGAGCCCUUUAAAUCUGGGUUUAGAAUCAGAGACAGAGGAAGUCAGAGAUUCAGGGCAUGAGAAGGAUUCAAUGUACCAUUUCUGGUUUGAAGAUGGAGGGGCCCACAAGGCAAGGAAGGUGGGCAGCCUCUAGAGCAACCCUGGGUGACAGUUGGCAAGGAAAUGGAACACUCAGCUCUACAACCACCAGACACUGAAUUUUUCCAGUGACCAGAGUGAGCUUAGAUAGGGAUUUUUCCUCGGAGCCUCCAGAUGAGAGCUCGGCCUGGGCAAUGCCUUUAGUACCCUGAGCAGAGAAGUCAGCCACACCAUGCCUGGACUUCUGACCUAUAGACUGUGAGCUAAUAAACAAGUGUCGUUUUAAGCUGCCUAGUUCAUGGCAAUUUGUUGUACAGCAAUAGAAAAAUAAAGCAGAGCUUGGGUCUGAUAAAGCCUGGCAUUGUGGCUGGGCCAGAUCACACAGGGUCCUGAAAGCAGUGGCCAAACAUCUGAUCUUUAUCCUGACAAUGAUGAGAAGCCACUGAAGGGAUUAGGGUGGGAAUGGCAUGAUCAGAUUUUGCGUCCCUUUUGGUCCUCUCUUUUUAAUCUUCGCUGGUCCCCUUCAUUCUCCUCCCUUUCCUUGCCUGAAUCAAUUGUCAGUGCCUGAGGACUGAAUGUGGGUGGCAGUAAUAAAUAUUACCUGGGCAUUUAAGGUGAAGUAAUUUUUAACUAGUUACCAUCAAGUGGACUCCAACUCUUGGUGUCCACAUGUGUGUCAGAGUAGAACUGUGCUCCACAGGGUUUUCAGUGGCUGAUUUUUCAGAAGUAGAUCACUAGGUCUUUCUUUUGAGGUGGGUCUGGGUGGAGCUGAACUUCCAGUCUUUUCUAAUUGAGUGUGGUAAUGGUUUAUACCACCCAGGGACUCCUUAAAGUGAGGUAAAUAAAAAACAAACAAAAACCCAAACCCUUUGCCAUCAAGUCAAUUCUGAUUCAUGGUGACCCCAUGUGUUACAGGGUAAUACUGAGAUCCACGGUUUUCUUGGCUGUAGUCUAAACCCUGGUGGCAUAGUGGUUAAGUGCUAUGGCUGCUAAUUAAAGGGUUGGCAGUUCAAAUCUGCCAGGCGCUCCUUGGAAACUCUGUGGGGCAGUUCUACUCUGUCCUAUAGGGUCACCGUGAGUCAGAAUUGACUCGAUGGCACUGGGCGAGUAGUCUUUACAGAAGCAAAUCACCAGGUCUUUCAUCCACAGUAUCAGCAGGUGGAUUGGAAUCACCAAUCUUUCAGUUAGCAUCCAAGCCCAAACCAUUUUCUCCACCCAGGGACCUUUAAGGUGAGGUGAAGGGUUUUAAAAUCCGUUUCAAGAAACAUCCAAACUGAGUUGUCCUCAGCACCACCCGAGGGCAUUGUGUUUUCCAGCUGGGCAAUACUAAGGAAUGCAGGAUAUGGAGUCAGAAAUGAAUCCUACUUAUCCAUCCCAGGGCACCUUUGAAGAUUCGAAGACAUCCAGGCCACCCAUCAACCUAUCCAAAAUCACUAAAAAUUAGAAAUUAUCGAAUGCCCUUAAAACCAUGGUAAAAUAUUCUGUAUAUUUUUCUUCAAUUAAUUACAAAAAAGCCAAGUACCUUCUUAUGUUCUCUGGAGAAUUAUUACAUUUUAUAUUCUUUACCCCGAGAUAUACAUGCUUUUAAAAAGAAAGACACACUGCUUUUCUAGUGUUCAUUUACAUACCUUUGAUAAAUUACUGUAACCAGAUUGGGAAGAUAAAAUAACCAGUCUAUUAAUUACAAUGAUUAUUAUUUAAUGGAAAAUGGGAUUCUAGGCAAAGUGUGUAGAAAGAAGAAAGCUUAGCAAUGCAUUAUAUAGAUGUGGUAUUUUGUCUUAAAGAGUAAGAUAAGUGUCCAGUCUGCUCCAUAAUCUGCAGAAUAUAUUCAUUAACUCUGCAAGAUUUAUAUGUAUAAUAGACCAUAGUAUUUUAACACUAUUUGCUUGAUUUGGCAGUACAUGAAGAACAAAGAAAAACUGUAACUUCAAUUAAAUUGACUAAAUUCCUCAACGAGCAAAUAAAAGUCCAAGUCUACUCAGCAAUGUGGGAAGCAGAGGGUUGAACAAUGGUUCAAAUUUAAAAA